CGUUUAGUGGCGAACGGGUGAGUAAUACAUAGGUAACCUACCCUUAAGACGAGGAUAGCCAUUGGAAACGAUGGAUAAAACUGGAUAGGAUAUAGAGGAAGAAUCUUUUAUAUUUAAAAGAGAGAUCUGCUUAAGGAGGGGCCUGUGGCGCAUUAGCUAGUUGGUGGGGUAAGGGCCUACCAAGGCGAUGAUGCGUAGCCGGACUGAGAGGUUGAACGGCCACAAUGGAACUGAGACACGGACCAAACUCCUACGGGAGGCAGCAG
RNAcentral lists this ribosomal RNA (266 nucleotides) under uncultured bacterium. Its description in RNAcentral is "partial 16S ribosomal RNA". It matches the Rfam family "Bacterial small subunit ribosomal RNA", at positions 89 to 354 of the family's 1533-position model. The record is from RNAcentral.